This 30-nucleotide non-coding RNA is filed under the name Rattus norvegicus (Norway rat). The record is from RNAcentral. Lineage: Eukaryota; Metazoa; Chordata; Mammalia; Rodentia; Muridae.
UCAGAGGAUGUUGAGCUGUCCGUGGUGAGU